Molecule: ribosomal RNA, 209 nt
Filed under: uncultured bacterium
Lineage: Bacteria
Description: partial 16S ribosomal RNA
Rfam family: Bacterial small subunit ribosomal RNA
Source: RNAcentral
UACGUAGGGUGCGAGCGUUAAUCGGAAUUACUGGGCGUAAAGCGUGAGCAGGCGGCUUUGCAAGACAGAUGUGAAAUCCCCGGGCUCAACCUGGGAACUGCAUUUGUGACUGCAAGGCUAGAGUACGGCAGAGGGGGAUGGAAUUCCGCGUGUAGCAGUGAAAUGCGUAGAUAUGCGGAGGAACACCAAUGGCGAAGGCAAUCCCCUGG